This is a non-coding RNA of Cyanistes caeruleus (blue tit), 831 nucleotides long. The record is from RefSeq and is a predicted model, not a curated record. NCBI's taxonomy places the organism in Eukaryota, Metazoa, Chordata, Aves, Passeriformes, Paridae.
GUCUGCAGGGGCGCUGGCCAGGUGCUGAUGUGAACCCCAACAGAUGGGGACCCGCAGUGGGUGGCACCGUCCUGCUGUGUGGGAGCACCACGGCUGCUGAUCCCUGCCCAGCCUCAGCCUGUCCACAAAGAACAUCAGCUGGUCCCGGCUGCCAUCAGCCAUCGGCCAGUCCCAGCCAUCCUCAGCAGCCUCCAGCCCCCUGCUCUGUGCCCACUCCUCAGUGAGCCCACAGGGAUCCCCUGCCAGCCCCGCUCCGCGGUGCUCCCGGCAAUCUGGGACGUGCCAGCUGCACCCUGAGGCUGGGAGCAGUCAGCUCCCUGUAGAUGUGAUGGCUGAGCAGGGUGGAAAAUGGCUUGGGGACAGCACUGCUGAUGCUGGGGAGCUGCUCUGCAGCCUGUUGCAAAGCUGUGCCCACCUCUGCACACGGCUGUGUCCCUGUAUUCCUACUGGUUGCUCCAGAUCUAGAAGCUCAAGACUAAUCCAGGCUGCGUGGAAAACAAGGGGGUGUACUUCAGAGGAUUUGCUGGAGUUGGGCUAUUGUUGGUCUCAAAACACAGCCUCAAUGGGCCUAGAUGACCUCAUCUUUUCCUGCCUGCUAAUCCACCACCUCCAUUUUCACCGUGUCUCAGAAAAGUUUAUUUAAGGAGACUUGCAGUGGAAUAAUAGCUGACGCUUUGCAUAAGUCAUAAAGUCAAAGUUAAACAAGUACAUCUGUGUUGCACAUUGUGUACUGAACACUGAAGGAAAAAACUUCAAAAUUUGUCAUUGGACUAGAUUUUUAUAAUAAUGCUUUAAUUUUACAGAGUGACAUUAAAACAUAAAGCAGCCUCA